This 915-nucleotide ribosomal RNA is filed under the name Lophiostoma sp. MFLUCC 13-0351. RNAcentral's name for it is "eukaryotic LSU rRNA". It matches the Rfam family "Eukaryotic large subunit ribosomal RNA", at positions 35 to 971 of the family's 3401-position model. Lineage: Eukaryota; Fungi; Ascomycota; Dothideomycetes; Pleosporales; Lophiostomataceae. The record is from RNAcentral.
UAAGCAUAUCAAUAAGCGGAGGAAAAGAAACCAACAGGGAUUGCCCUAGUAACGGCGAGUGAAGCGGCAACAGCUCAAAUUUGAAAUCUGGCUCCUUUGGGGUCCGAGUUGUAAUUUGUAGAGGGUGCUUUGGCGUUGGUUGUGGUCUAAGUUCCUUGGAACAGGACGUCACAGAGGGUGAGAAUCCCGUACGUGGCCGCCAGCCUUCGCCGUGUAAAGCCCCUUCGAUGAGUCGAGUUGUUUGGGAAUGCAGCUCUAAAUGGGAGGUAAAUUUCUUCUAAAGCUAAAUAUUUGCCAGAGACCGAUAGCGCACAAGUAGAGUGAUCGAAAGAUGAAAAGCACUUUGGAAAGAGAGUCAAAAAGCACGUGAAAUUGUUGAAAGGGAAGCGCUUGCAGCUAGACGUGCCUUGGGUUGAUCAGCCGGACUUUUGUCCGGUGCACUCUUCCUUUGGCAGGCCAGCAUCAGUUUGGGCGGCUGGAUAAAGGUCUGUUAAACGUGACUUCCUUCGGGGAGAGCUUAUAGGGCAGACGACAUGCAGCCAGCCUGAACUGAGGUCCGCGCAUCUGCUAGGAUGCUGGCAUAAUAGCUGUAAGCGGCCCGUCUUGAAACACGGACCAAGGAGUCUAACAUCUAUGCGAGUGUUUGGGUGUCAAGCCCGAGCGCGUAAUGAAAGUAAACGGAGGUGGGAACCUUUUAGGUGCACCAUCGACCGAUCCUGAUGUCUUCGGAUGGAUUUGAGUAAGAGCAUAGCUGUUGGGACCCGAAAGAUGGUGAACUAUGCCUGAAUAGGGUGAAGCCAGAGGAAACUCUGGUGGAGGCUCGCAGCGGUUCUGACGUGCAAAUCGAUCGUCAAAUUUGGGCAUAGGGGCGAAAGACUAAUCGAACUAUCUAGUAGCUGGUUCCUGCCGAGUUCC